ACAUGCUUUAUAAGUAGGAAAACCUGCAAAAUCGGCAGUGUAUCAAAUACUUGUUCUCCCCAUUGUUUUAGCUAGCUUUCCCAAUUCAACACCUGUGAUUACUGUAUGCCUCGCUGUAUGUCUCUAUCAAAUGUCAAUAUGCCUUGUAUACUGUUGUUCAGGUUAGUUAUCAUUGUUUUAGUUCACAAUGGAGCCCCUAGUUCCACUCUUCAUACCCCUGAUAACUCCUUUGUCCCACCUCCCACACAUGCGGUGACCUCACCCAUUACUACCAGCAUGUCCAGAGAUACAACCUCUCUCAUCAUCACCCAGUGCCUGGGCUUACCUCCGCUGUACCCACACCCCACCAUACCCCUGUCUGCGCAUUAUGCCCAGAAUAUAUUCUACCAUGCCCAGAAACCUGCUCCUCUUAUUCUCUGUCCCCAACGCUCUAGGCGACCAGUUUUGAUAGCCUUUAGCCGCACCCUCAUACUACUCCUUCUCUGUUCCGCGGGUGAUGUGGAGGUAAACCCAGGCCCUGCAUGUCCCCAGGCACCCUCAUUUGUUGACUUCUGUGAUCGAAAAAGCCUUGGUUUCAUGCAUGUCAACAUCAGAAGCCUCCUCCCUAAGUUUGUUUUACUCACUGCUUUAGCACACUCUGCUAACCCUGAUGUCCUUGCUGUGUCUGAAUCCUGGCUCAGGAAGGCCACCAAAAAUUCUGAGAUUUCCAUACCCAACUAUAACAUCUUCCGUCAAGAUAGAACUGCCAAAGGGGGAGGAGUUGCAGUUUACUGCAGAGAUAGCCUGCAAAGUAAUGUCAUACUUUCCAGGUCCAUACCCAAACAGUUUGAACUACUAAUUUUGAAAAUUACUCUCUCCAGAAAUAAGUCUCUCACGGUUGCCGCCUGCUACCGACCCCCCUCAGCUCCCAGCUGUGCCCUGGACACCAUUUGUGAAUUGAUCGCCCCCCAUCUAGCUUCAGAGUUUGUUCUGUUAGGUGACCUAAACUGGGAUGUGCUUAACACCCCGCCAGUCCUACAAUCUAAGCUAGAUGCCCUCAAUCUCACACAAAUCAUCAAGGAACCCACCAGGUACAACCCUAACUCUGUAAACAAG
Molecule: long non-coding RNA, 1095 nt
Filed under: Oncorhynchus kisutch (coho salmon)
Lineage: Eukaryota; Metazoa; Chordata; Actinopteri; Salmoniformes; Salmonidae
Description: lncRNA (ENSOKIG00005012122.1)
Source: RNAcentral